UACAGAGGGGGCAAGCGUUAUUCGGAAUUAUUGGGCGUAAAGGGCGCGUAGGCGGCUUUGCAAGUGACGGGUGAAAUCCCUCGGCUUAACCGAGGAACUGCCUGUCAGACUGCAUGGCUUGAGACCGGGAGAGGUGAGUGGAAUUCCCAGUGUAGCGGUGAAAUGCGUAGAUAUCUGGAGGAACACCGGUGGCGAAGGCGGCAUCCUGGACCGGCAUUGACGCUGAGGCGCGAAAGCCAGGGGAGCAAACGGG
RNAcentral lists this ribosomal RNA (253 nucleotides) under uncultured bacterium. Its description in RNAcentral is "partial 16S ribosomal RNA". It matches the Rfam family "Bacterial small subunit ribosomal RNA", at positions 524 to 776 of the family's 1533-position model. The record is from RNAcentral.